Argiope bruennichi is the source of this 666-nucleotide long non-coding RNA. RefSeq lists it as uncharacterized. The record is from RefSeq and is a predicted model, not a curated record. NCBI's taxonomy places the organism in Eukaryota, Metazoa, Arthropoda, Arachnida, Araneae, Araneidae. The transcript has 4 exons.
UUAAAAGAUAACAUUCACCAUAAUAAAAGUGUUAUCACAGAUCUUAUAAAAAUUCGGUGAAGACGCCUUCCCAUUCAAAGUGUGUCGCUGCAACGGCAGGUGUUGCUAGUUAUUUCUUCUUGCUGAGAAAGCUUAUCUCACGUCAUAAGGGUUACUCGACCCUUUCUCUCAUUUUGGCGUAGUAUUUAAGAAGAAGCAGCAAUAUGAUGCGAAACGAAAACGAGGGCUGGUGGACGUCCAGAACAGGUCUAGAAAAGAAACUCUUCAUUUUAUCCACGAUAUUAUUAAUUGUUAGCGUCUCCUUAACCAUAACGGUUAUUGUCUACAAAAAUUCAAGUGCAACGAGCGAGUGUCACUGCACUGGUUAGAAGAUUGGAACCGCCAAAGACUGACAAAGAGUGGAACCAAGUAGACCAACAGUUCGAAAAGUCUUCAAAUCUGAAUGUCAUAUUAUGCAAGUCCUGUGGAAGCUCACAAAGGAUCACAAAGUUCAUAAAAUGAAGAACAGAAAUUAUAUUUUGACUUUUUUUUUCCUUUGCUUAUUUCUUAAUCUUAUUAUUUAUUUAGACGACAAAGGCAAACGAUAAAAUGUUUAAAGAACUGUUUUAAUAUUUAAACAGUUCUUUAAACAUUACUGUAUUAAUUUUUAAUAAAUUAUUGAAAUUG